RNAcentral lists this transfer RNA (69 nucleotides) under Stereochilus marginatus (many-lined salamander). RNAcentral describes it as "tRNA-His". It matches the Rfam family "tRNA". From Rfam's summary of the family: Transfer RNA (tRNA) molecules are approximately 80 nucleotides in length. Their secondary structure includes four short double-helical elements and three loops (D, anti-codon, and T loops). Further hydrogen bonds mediate the characteristic L-shaped molecular structure. tRNAs have two regions of fundamental functional importance: the anti-codon, which is responsible for specific mRNA codon recognition, and the 3' end, to which the tRNAs corresponding amino acid is attached (by aminoacyl-tRNA synthetases). tRNAs cope with the degeneracy of the genetic code in two manners: having more than one tRNA (with a specific anti-codon) for a particular amino acid; and 'wobble' base-pairing, i.e. permitting non-standard base-pairing at the 3rd anti-codon position. The record is from RNAcentral. Lineage: Eukaryota; Metazoa; Chordata; Amphibia; Caudata; Plethodontidae.
GUAUACAUAGUUUAAACAAAAUAUUAGGCUGUGAUCCUAAAAAUGAAAGUUAAACCCUUUCUGUGAACC